UAGGGAAUAUUGGUCAAUGGACGCAAGUCUGAACCAGCCAUGCCGCGUGCAGGAAGAAGGCGCUCAGCGUUGUAAACUGCUUUAGACGGGGAACAAAAAGCUCAUGCGUGAGCCAUUGAGGGUACCCGUAGAAUAAGCACCGGCUAACUCCGUGCCAGCAGCCGCGGUAAUACGGAGGGUGCAAGCGUUGUCCGGAUUUACUGGGUUUAAAGGGUGCGUAGGCGGAUAAAUAAGUCAGUGCUUAAAUCCCGCAGCUCAACUGCGGAAGUGGCAUUGAUACUGUUUGUCUUGAGUAAAGACGAGGCAUGAGGAAUUUGUGAAGUAGCGGUGAAAUGCUCUGAUAUCACAAGGAACAUCAAUAGCGAAGGCAACAUGCUAGACUUUAACUGACGCUGAGGCA
Molecule: ribosomal RNA, 400 nt
Filed under: uncultured bacterium
Lineage: Bacteria
Description: bacterial SSU rRNA
Rfam family: Bacterial small subunit ribosomal RNA
Source: RNAcentral